GUCUGCAGCCAUACCACCCUGACCACGCCUGAGCUUGUCUGAUCUCGGAAGCUAAGCAGGGUCAGGCCUGGUUAGUAUUUGGAUGGGAGACCACUGGGAAUACUGGGUGCUAUAGGCU
RNAcentral lists this ribosomal RNA (118 nucleotides) under Cebus imitator (Panamanian white-faced capuchin). Lineage: Eukaryota; Metazoa; Chordata; Mammalia; Primates; Cebidae. The record is from RNAcentral.